This 634-nucleotide ribosomal RNA is filed under the name uncultured bacterium. RNAcentral's name for it is "bacterial SSU rRNA". It matches the Rfam family "Bacterial small subunit ribosomal RNA", at positions 195 to 828 of the family's 1533-position model. The record is from RNAcentral.
UGGGGUUUAAAGGGUAACACCGGCUACGGAUGGCCAUGCGGCGCAUUAGCUAGUUGGCGAGGUAACGGCCCACCAAGGCGACGAUGCGUAGGGGUUCUGAGAGGAAGGUCCCCCACACUGGUACUGAGACACGGACCAGACUCCUACGGGAGGCAGCAGUGAGGAAUAUUGGUCAAUGGGCGCGAGCCUGAACCAGCCAAGUCGCGUGAGGGAAGACGGUCCUAUGGAUUGUAAACCUCUUUUGUCGGGGAGCAAAAGACGCCACGCGUGGCGUUCCGAGAGUACCCGAAGAAAAAGCAUCGGCUAACUCCGUGCCAGCAGCCGCGGUAAUACGGAGGAUGCGAGCGUUAUCCGGAUUUAUUGGGUUUAAAGGGUGCGCAGGCGGAAGAUCAAGUCAGCGGUAAAAUUGAGAGGCUCAACCUCUUCGAGCCGUUGAAACUGGUUUUCUUGAGUGAGCGAGAAGUAUGCGGAAUGCGUGGUGUAGCGGUGAAAUGCAUAGAUAUCACGCAGAACUCCGAUUGCGAAGGCAGCAUACCGGCGCUCAACUGACGCUCAUGCACGAAAGUGUGGGUAUCGAACAGGAUUAGAUACCCUGGUAGUCCACACAGUAAACGAUGAAUAAUAAUUGUUCGGG